GGCAUUUAAUAAAUUAUUUCUUCUUCUUUUUUCCUUACCUGCGUCAGUGCUAUAUUUUCCUUACCUGCUAUAUUAUGCUAUUUCAAUUUUUUUUCUUUCACUUUCAACCUUUUGGUUUAAUUUCCUUCCAAGGCCUUUCUCCUUUCUACUUUCCACAAUUUCAUUUAAACCAUUUAUCAUUUAUUUUCAAGCAUAAUUCUUUCCAUGAUUAAUUAAACUCUUUUUUAACUUUAGCCCGGAAGUUGCUCCAACAAAACAAUCGUGAGAUACAAAUUCGCUCAAAAAAUCUCUCAACGCAGCAUUUUCUAUCUCUCCGAUAUAUGGGAUAGUACAAAUUCAUUCCUUAAAGUUGAUUCAUUCGAUUCAAAAAGUGCACAUUGGGUUGGAGUUGUUUGGCAUACAGUUGGGAAGAUGAAUCGGCCAUGCUGUGUUCGAAUUCUCACGAACAAAUUGGCAUGUCUAGGUGGGAAAAGCCAAUUGGAUUCCAACAAGGGAGAUAGAGAUCGGAUUUAAAUAAAUGACCGACACGGUUGAGGCCGUUGAUUUGAGUUGGGCUUUUUAGAUCGCAAGGCUAUCGAAAUCUUAAAUUGUGAACACGUGUAUCGCAAUUAGAAAUUUGGCAAGAGUUAGAUUGUAGGUCAUAUCGGGAUUAACUACAUAAGGAAAAGUUGAUGAUCGGGACGUUCUUAGUCGCUAUAACCAGCUUAUUGCUUAGAAGGGAAAAUCUAUUUCAAGGAUCGAUUCAAGAUUGGAGUAUACCGAGGCUAAGGCUAAGCUUAGAAAAAUGUUUUAUUUAUCCAUUUGUUUUAUUUUCUUAAAUUUAUUUUUGCAUUUUUGAAUAUAUUUUUAUUUUAUUUUAUUUUUUCUAUUUCUUUAUUUUAUUAUCUUAAUCAAUUUAAGCCUCCAGUUUUUAUUUUUAUUUUUAGCAUUUCUACUCACAGGCUGUAGCCACGACUGUCGCCGCGACAGCAAUUCUGGUCACGAAAAAAGACAAAAUUAGAUAGCCAGUCUCUGUGGAUUUGACCCUACUACUCUAUACUACCAUUUACUUAUUUUGUCAUAGGAAUUUAUAUUUGGUGGUUUCGAUGCCCAUCACAUCAGGAGGUACUUCUUCAACCCAGUAUUGAGAGUUCCCUAUUUUGAAACCCAUGCUCGCUAUUGUAUGAGCAACUAAAUUAGAUUCUCGAUCUGCAUGUUGAAAAAAAAAUAGAAUCAAAAUUAAGAGCCAUCAUUCUAAUUUCUUUAACAUAAACUCCAACCGCAGAUCUAUCUAAGACUCCUUUUUGUGCCUUUACGAUUAUCCUUGUAGAAGCCCAAAUUUGCUGGCCUAGUAAAAAUAAUAACCCAAUCACAAAUGGGCCCAAAAAUUAAAAACCUAGCUCAAACAACAUUAACAUUUUCAGCAGAAAUGAGUAAAAGAAACCCUAGGAGCCGCAUGCCUCGGGUGGCCUCCUCGUCUGCCACCCCCAGCCACCAGGCACCUUCAGCGCACGCCUCUGACACUGCCGCCGUUGGCCCUCCACGCGUGUCAGACCACCUGCAGAGAGAAAUGAAUGCAAAGAAAAAAAGAGCAAUAAAAAAAACAGUUUGUAAUGGCCUAUAAAAAACAACAAGAGCCAUUUUUUUUUGUUCUACUUCGAUUUUCUUUGUAAAAAAACCCACAUCAGAAUAGAAAAUUUUAAAGGUUGAAUCUGUGCUAUUUUCUUCUUUGUUUUCUCUUAUUUAUUUGUUUUAUCUUAUUUUAUUUUACUUUUUUUCGCCUUUUGCAAAUCUAUUUUAAAUAACUAUUAUAAAAAAAAUCAAAAGCAAAAAAUAAUGGGGAAGGGAACUCACCGGAAGUGGCUGUGGUUGCGCCGUCGGAGGGUCUCUCAUCCAUCGCCCGAAUCGAGUCCAAGAGGCUGAGAACUUCCCUUGUUUUCGACUCCCAUGGGUUGAGAGAGCUUUGGCUCUCAAGGAUGCCAUGGUGCAAGGGCUAACGGGCCCAUUAUUUGGCGCCGGUCGCCGGCCACUUUGGUGGUGCGACGGAGGUCUUGAGAGACCGUCGGCCAUUUGAGAAUGGAGGGUGUUGAGAGAAAAACUGAGGCUCCUUCAGUUUUUUUU
This 2100-nucleotide long non-coding RNA is filed under the name Gossypium barbadense (sea-island cotton). RNAcentral describes it as "long non-coding RNA (GBAR_LNC013202)". Lineage: Eukaryota; Viridiplantae; Streptophyta; Magnoliopsida; Malvales; Malvaceae. The record is from RNAcentral.